This 460-nucleotide ribosomal RNA is filed under the name uncultured bacterium. Its description in RNAcentral is "partial 16S ribosomal RNA". It matches the Rfam family "Bacterial small subunit ribosomal RNA", at positions 338 to 795 of the family's 1533-position model. The record is from RNAcentral.
CCUACGGGCGGCAGCAGUGAGGAAUAUUGGUCAAUGGACGAGAGUCUGAACCAGCCAAGUAGCGUGAAGGAUGACUGCCCUAUGGGUUGUAAACUUCUUUUAUAUGGGAAUAAAAUGUUCCACGUGUGGGAUUUUGUAUGUACCAUAUGAAUAAAGAACGGCGAACUCCGUGCCAGCAGCCGCGGUAAUACGGAGGAUCCGAGCGUUAUCCGGAUUUAUUGGGUUUAAAGGGAGCGUAGGUGGAUUGUUAAGUCAGUUGUGAAAGUUUGCGGCUCAACCGUAAAAUUGCAGUUGAAACUGGCAGUCUUGAGUACAGUAGAGGUGUGCGGAAUUCGUGGUGUAGCGGUGAAAUGCUUAGAUAUCACGAAGAACUCCGAUUGCGAAGGCAGUUCACUGGACUGCAACUGACACUGAGGCUCGAAAGUGUGGGUAUCAAACAGGAUUAGAUACCCUUGUAGUC